RNAcentral lists this transfer RNA (70 nucleotides) under Eptatretus atami. Its description in RNAcentral is "tRNA-Pro". Lineage: Eukaryota; Metazoa; Chordata; Myxini; Myxiniformes; Myxinidae. The record is from RNAcentral.
UCAGAGAAAAGGAAAGACUUCCUUACCUUUAAUUCCCAAAAUUAAAAUUCUCAAAAUAAACUAUUCUCUG